Molecule: long non-coding RNA, 1849 nt
Organism: Parus major (Great Tit)
Lineage: Eukaryota; Metazoa; Chordata; Aves; Passeriformes; Paridae
Source: Ensembl
CUCUUCCAGUGUCCCCUCCCCAUCUCCAAUGUCCCCUCCCCUCUUCCAGUGUCCCCUCCCCUCUUCCAGUGUCCCCUCCCAGUGCCAAUGUCCCUUCCCAGUGCCAAUGUCCCUUCCCAGUGCCAAAGUCCCCUCCCAGUGCCAAUGUCCCCUCUUCCAGUGUCCCCUCCCAAUGCCAGUGUCCCCUCCCAGUGCCCCGUGUCCCCUCCCCACCUCCAGUGUCCCCUCCCAGUGCCCGGGCUCACGGACACCACAGCCGCACUGGUUUUUACUGGUUUUUAUUGGUGUGACGCAGGGGACCCCACGCCUGUGCCCGCCCUCGUGUGUCCCUGCGUGUCCCCCAGGGGUGACCCGGCCUGGCUGUGUCCCCGCAGUGCCACCCUGCUGCCCGUCCUGCCAUCCCUGAUGACGCUGACUCGGGCGGGCGUGAUGGGCCUGGAGGGCGCGGUGGCACUGCCCGGCUUGUCCCCAAGGGUGGCACUGCCAGGCCUGUCCCCAAGGGUGGCACUGCCAGGCCUGUCCCCCGUGGUGGCACCGCCCCGGGAAGGGCAGUCCCUGUCAGGGAUGGUGGCACUGCCACUGCUGGGUGUGUCCGUGAUGGGGGGACUGCCAGUGACGUGUCUGUCCCCAAGGGUGGCACUGCCCCUGGAUGGGCACUCCCGGAUGGGGACGGUGGCAGUGCCACCCACUGACCUGGCCCCAACAGGGAUGGUGGCACUGUCCCUGGACGGACACUCCCUGACAGAGGUGGUGGCACUGUCCCCACCAGACCAGUCCCCACGAGGGACGGUGACACCGUCCCUGGAUGGGCACUCCCUGGCAGAGGUGGUGGCACUGUCCCUGGAUGGGCAUUCCCUGAUGGGGACAGUGGCACUGUCCCUGCCAGACCAAUCCCCACGAGGGAUGGUGGCACUGUCCCUGUCAGAGGUGGUGGCACUGUCCCUGGACGGGCAUUCCCGGAUGGGGACAGUGGCACUGUCCCUGCCUGGCCAGUCCCUGUCACAGAUGGUGGCUCUGUCUCUGCCAGACCAAUCCCCACGAGGAAUGGUGGCACUGUCCCUGUCAGAGGUGGUGGCACUGUCCCUGCCUGGCCUGUCCCCAGUGGUGGCACUGCCAGGCCUGUCCCCAGUGGUGCCACUGCUCCUGUCCCCAAAGUCACUGGGCCUGUGUGGCCUGUCCCUGCUGGGCACAGUGGCACUGCCACUGCUCCUGUCCCCACUGCCACUGGGCCUGUGUGGCCUGUCCCUGACAGGGACGGUGGCACUGCCAGGCCUGUCCCCAGUGGUGGCACUGCCAGGCCUGUCCCCUGUGGUGUCACUGCUCCUUUCCCCACUGUCACUGUCUCUGGGUGGCCUGUCCCUGACAGGGAUGGUGGCACUGCCAGGCCUGUCCCCAGUGGUGCCACUGCUCCUGUCCCCAAUGUCGCUGCCCCUGUGUGGCCUGUCCCUGACAGGGAUGGUGGCACUGCCAGGCCUGUCCCCUGUGGUGUCACCGCUCCUUUCCCCACUGUCACUGGGCCUGGGUGGCCUGUCCCUGCUGGGCACGGUGACACUGCCCAGUCUGUCCCCAAAGUCACCAGGCCUGUGUGNCCUGUCCCUGCUGGAGAUGGUGGCACUGCCCAGCCUGUCCCCAGGGGUGGCACUGCUCCUGCCUGGCCUGUCCCCAGGGGUGGCACUGGCCCUGAUCUGCCUGUCCCCAGGGGUGGCACUGCCUGGCCUGUCCCCAGGGGUGGCACUGGCCCUGGCUGUGCUGUCCUUGAUUGGGACAGUGGCACUGCCACCAGCUGUGCUGUCCCCAGGGGUGGCACUGUCCCUGCCCUGCCUGUCCCCAGGGGUGGCACUGUCCCUGC